This 792-nucleotide ribosomal RNA is filed under the name Bacillus subtilis. RNAcentral's name for it is "bacterial SSU rRNA". It matches the Rfam family "Bacterial small subunit ribosomal RNA", at positions 556 to 1349 of the family's 1533-position model. The record is from RNAcentral. Lineage: Bacteria; Bacillati; Bacillota; Bacilli; Caryophanales; Bacillaceae.
GGGCGUAGAGGGCUCGCAGGCGGUUUCUUAAGUCUGAUGUGAAAGCCCCCGGCUCAACCGGGGAGGGUCAUUGGAAACUGGGGAACUUGAGUGCAGAAGAGGAGAGUGGAAUUCCACGUGUAGCGGUGAAAUGCGUAGAGAUGUGGAGGAACACCAGUGGCGAAGGCGACUCUCUGGUCUGUAACUGACGCUGAGGAGCGAAAGCGUGGGGAGCGAACAGGAUUAGAUACCCUGGUAGUCCACGCCGUAAACGAUGAGUGCUAAGUGUUAGGGGGUUUCCGCCCCUUAGUGCUGCAGCUAACGCAUUAAGCACUCCGCCUGGGGAGUACGGUCGCAAGACUGAAACUCAAAGGAAUUGACGGGGGCCCGCACAAGCGGUGGAGCAUGUGGUUUAAUUCGAAGCAACGCGAAGAACCUUACCAGGUCUUGACAUCCUCUGACAAUCCUAGAGAUAGGACGUCCCCUUCGGGGGCAGAGUGACAGGUGGUGCAUGGUUGUCGUCAGCUCGUGUCGUGAGAUGUUGGGUUAAGUCCCGCAACGAGCGCAACCCUUGAUCUUAGUUGCCAGCAUUCAGUUGGGCACUCUAAGGUGACUGCCGGUGACAAACCGGAGGAAGGUGGGGAUGACGUCAAAUCAUCAUGCCCCUUAUGACCUNGGCUACACACGUGCUACAAUGGACAGAACAAAGGGCAGCGAACCCGCGAGGUUAAGCAAUCCCACAAAUCUGUUCUCAGUUCGGAUCGCAGUCUGCAACUCGACUGCGUGAAGCUGGGAUCGCUAGUAAUCGCGGAU